Molecule: long non-coding RNA, 440 nt
Filed under: Monodelphis domestica (gray short-tailed opossum)
Lineage: Eukaryota; Metazoa; Chordata; Mammalia; Didelphimorphia; Didelphidae
Description: lncRNA (ENSMODG00000048875.1)
Source: RNAcentral
CCUACAAAAUAACUACCUACCUCUAUCCUUGCCCCUUAGCUCUCUUCUUUUAUUGUUUAAGGCUGAAUCAUCUAUCUCUGCUUUACAAAAGGAAAAGGAGGAACAAGGGAAGGUAUAUUUCUGAAAAUGCAACCAUCAAGUAGAAGAUGAUGAUCAUAACACUUGUAGUUCAAGUGUACUUCUGUAUUUGUGGACCAUGCACUCAGACGUGUCAAUUAAACCAAACUGGGAAACAGAGAUCACUUAAAUAUUAGACCACCUGAACAAAAGAAAAACUCUAGGGUUUUCCAACCUCAAGGCUAUGGAUGCUAUGGGACCAGAAAGUGAUUGCAAAGAGUCCUUGCAUCCAGAUGUGCUCCUUACAUUGUCGGUCUGAUUUGUAUAUUUGCUAGUCCCAACAACUUCAAUCAAGAUCUAUUCACAUAAAUAUGCAGUAUGAC